AGGGUGUAAACGCUGCAGACUUGGUGUUGGAGGCCCUUUGGGGGCAUUCAGUGCCGGAGAGAAGUUGUUAAGUCUGCUACUUGGGAGUACGUCCGCAAGGAUGAAACUUAAAGGAAUUGGCGGGGGAGCACCGCAACGGGAGGAGCGUGCGGUUUAAUUGGAUUCAACACCGUAAACUCACCAGGGAAGACUGUUACAUGAAGGCCGAGAUGAAGACUCUGCUAGAUUUUCAGAGAGGAGGUGCAUGGCGUCAGUGACU
RNAcentral lists this ribosomal RNA (259 nucleotides) under uncultured archaeon. Its description in RNAcentral is "partial 16S ribosomal RNA". It matches the Rfam family "Archaeal small subunit ribosomal RNA", at positions 748 to 1008 of the family's 1478-position model. The record is from RNAcentral.